GGAGUUAGCCGGUGCUUCUUCUGUGAGUGAUGUCCUUCCUGCCGGUUAUUGACCCGCAGGCCUUCUUCCUCACUGAAAGUGCUUUACAACCCGAAGGCCUUCUUCACACACGCGGCAUGGCUGGAUCAGGGUUGCCCCCAUUGUCCAAUAUUCCCCACUGCUGCCUCCCGUAGGAGUCUGGGCCGUGUCUCAGUCCCAGUGUGGCUGAUCAUCCUCUCAGACCAGCUACGGAUCGUCGCCUUGGUGAGCCGUUACCUCACCAACCAGCUAAUCCGACAUAGGCUCAUCCGAUAGCGCGAGGCCCGAAGGUCCCCCGCUUUCCCCCGUAGGGCGUAUGCGGUAUUAGCCUGGGUUUCCCCAGGGUUAUCCCCCACUACCGGGCAGAUUCCUAUGCAUUACUCACCCGUCCGCCGCUCGCCACCAGGGAGCAAGCUCCCCGUGCUGCCGCUCGACUUGCAUGUGUUAGCGUCGCCGCCACGCGUUCAUCUGAGCCGAGAGUACAACUACUCGA
This 511-nucleotide ribosomal RNA is filed under the name uncultured bacterium. RNAcentral's name for it is "partial 16S ribosomal RNA". The record is from RNAcentral.